Molecule: ribosomal RNA, 253 nt
Filed under: uncultured bacterium
Lineage: Bacteria
Description: partial 16S ribosomal RNA
Rfam family: Bacterial small subunit ribosomal RNA
Source: RNAcentral
UACGGAGGGUGCAAGCGUUAUCCGGAUUCACUGGGUUUAAAGGGUGCGUAGGUGGGUCUGUAAGUCAGUGGUGAAAUCUCCGAGCUUAACUCGGAAACUGCCAUUGAUACUAUAGGUCUUGAAUCAUCUGGAGGUAAGCGGAAUAUGUCAUGUAGCGGUGAAAUGCUUAGAUAUGACAUAGAACACCCAUUGCGAAGGCAGCUUACUACACAAUGAUUGACGCUGAGGCACGAAAGCGUGGGGAUCAAACAGG